RNAcentral lists this ribosomal RNA (737 nucleotides) under uncultured bacterium. RNAcentral describes it as "bacterial SSU rRNA". It matches the Rfam family "Bacterial small subunit ribosomal RNA", at positions 9 to 728 of the family's 1533-position model. The record is from RNAcentral.
GAGUUUGAACCUGGCUCAGGAUGAACGCUGGCGGCGUGCCUAAUACAUGCAAGUCGAGCGAACAGAUAAGGAGCUUGCUCCUUUGAAGUUAGCGGCGGACGGGUGAGUAACACGUGGGUAACCUACCUAUAAGACUGGGAUAACUUCGGGAAACCGGAGCUAAUACCGGAUAAUAUUUAGAACCGCAUGGUUCUAAAGUGAAAGAUGGUUUUGCUAUCACUUAUAGAUGGACCCGCGCCGUAUUAGCUAGUUGGUAAGGUAACGGCUUACCAAGGCGACGAUACGUAGCCGACCUGAGAGGGUGAUCGGCCACACUGGAACUGAGACACGGUCCAGACUCCUACGGGAGGCAGCAGUAGGGAAUCUUCCGCAAUGGGCGAAAGCCUGACGGAGCAACGCCGCGUGAGUGAUGAAGGGUUUCGGCUCGUAAAACUCUGUUAUUAGGGAAGAACAAAUGUGUAAGUAACUGUGCACAUCUUGACGGUACCUAAUCAGAAAGCCACGGCUAACUACGUGCCAGCAGCCGCGGUAAUACGUAGGUGGCAAGCGUUAUCCGGAAUUAUUGGGCGUAAAGCGCGCGUAGGCGGUUUCUUAAGUCUGAUGUGAAAGCCCACGGCUCAACCGUGGAGGGUCAUUGGAAACUGGGAAACUUGAGUGCAGAAGAGGAAAGUGGAAUUCCAUGUGUAGCGGUGAAAUGCGCAGAGAUAUGGAGGAACACCAGUGGCGAAGGCGACUUU